AUAAUACUCCAUAGAUUAGAGACACUGGAAUGCUUUAUAAUCGAAAGUUCCGGCGCCUUAGGAUGGAUCUGCGGUCGAUUAGAUAGUAGUGAGGGUAGCGUCCCAACUAGCCUGUAAUCGAUACGGGUUGUGGGAGCAAGAGCCCGGAGAUGGAAUCUGAGACACGAAUCCAGGCCCUACGGGGCGCAGCAGGCGCGAAAACUUUACAAUGCUGGCAACAGCGAUAAGGGAACCUCGAGUGCCAGGUUACAAAUCUGGCUGUCGAGAUGCCUAAAAAGCAUUUCGUAGCAAGGGCCGGGCAAGACCGGUGCCAGCCGCCGCGGUAACACCGGCGGCUCGAGUGGUAACCGUUAUUAUUGGGUCUAAAGGGUCUGUAGCCGGCCGGAUAAGUCUCUUGAGAAAUCUGGCAGCUUAACUGUCAGGCUUUCCAAGGAGAUACUGUCUGGCUCGAGGCCGGGAGAGGUGAGAGGUACUUCAGGGGUAGGGGUGAAAUCUUGUAAUCCUUGAAGGACCACCAGUGGCGAAGGCGUCUCACCAGAACGGACCUGACGGCAAGGGACGAAAGCUAGGGGCACGAACCGGAUUAGAUACCCGGGUAGUCCUAGCCGUAAACGAUACUCGCUAGGUGU
Molecule: ribosomal RNA, 629 nt
Filed under: uncultured archaeon
Lineage: Archaea
Description: bacterial SSU rRNA
Rfam family: Archaeal small subunit ribosomal RNA
Source: RNAcentral